GCCAAUCACUCACAAACGUCUCAUAGAGAAAGAGCUCGAGGGAUUUGGCAUUAGGUUGAACAAGGAACCACCUAAUAUGACAUUCAGGAAGAAGGAGAAGGGUGGUAUUAAUUUGACGUCAACGGUUACCAAUACCCAUUUGGACCUCGACACUGUGAAGGCCAUAUGCAGCGAAUACAGAAUACAUAAUGCUGAUGUUCAUCUUAGGUAUGAUGCAACUGCUGAUGACCUGAUUGAUGUCAUUGAAGGCAGUAGAGUAUACACACCUUGCAU
This 273-nucleotide unclassified non-coding RNA is filed under the name Hevea brasiliensis (rubber tree). Lineage: Eukaryota; Viridiplantae; Streptophyta; Magnoliopsida; Malpighiales; Euphorbiaceae. The record is from RNAcentral.